UUUCCGUAGGUGAACCUGCGGAAGGAUCAUUAAUGCGUAACCAAGUACCAAGGGUUGACGCUGACCAAAAAGUUCGUUCACGCCCGAAUGCCCUCACACACAUUCAUCACACCCCGUUGUGCAGCACCGUCUGGGUCGCCCUUUGAAGUGUGGGACGGGGGGCUUACGUUUUCACUCAAACUUUUUAUGCUGUGUAGUAGGUAUUUUUUGUUUUUUCUAUCACGCUAUCUACACAACUUUCAACAACGGAUUUUUUGGCUCUCGCAUCAAUGAAGAACG
RNAcentral lists this unclassified non-coding RNA (279 nucleotides) under plant metagenome. RNAcentral describes it as "partial contains small subunit ribosomal RNA, internal transcribed spacer 1, and 5.8S ribosomal RNA". The record is from RNAcentral.